CUAUCUACAGGCUUAACACAUGCAAGUCGAGGGGCAGCAUGGUCUUAGCUUGCUAAGGCCGAUGGCGACCGGCGCACGGGUGAGUAACACGUAUCCAACCUGCCGUCUACUCUUGGACAGCCUUCUGAAAGGAAGAUUAAUACAAGAUGGCAUCAUGAGUCCGCAUGUUCACAUGAUUAAAGGUAUUCCGGUAGACGAUGGGGAUGCGUUCCAUUAGAUAGUAGGCGGGGUAACGGCCCACCUAGUCUUCGAUGGAUAGGGGUUCUGAGAGGAAGGUCCCCCACAUUGGAACUGAGACACGGUCCAAACUCCUACGGGAGGCAGCAGUGAGGAAUAUUGGUCAAUGGGCGAGAGCCUGAACCAGCCAAGUAGCGUGAAGGAUGACUGCCCUAUGGGUUGUAAACUUCUUUUAUAAAGGAAUAAAGUCGGGUAUGGAUACCCGUUUGCAUGUACUUUAUGAAUAAGGAUCGGCUAACUCCGUGCCAGCAGCCGCGGUAAUACGGAGGAUCCGAGCGUUAUCCGGAUUUAUUGGGUUUAAAGGGAGCGUAGAUGGAUGUUUAAGUCAGUUGUGAAAGUUUGCGGCUCAACCGUAAAAUUGCAGUUGAUACUGGAUAUCUUGAGUGCAGUUGAGGCAGGCGGAAUUCGUGGUGUAGCGGUGAAAUGCUUAGAUAUCACGAAGAACUCCGAUUGCGAAGGCAGCCUGCUAAGCUGCAACUGACAUUGAGGCUCGAAAGUGUGGGUAUCAAACAGGAUUAGAUACCCUGGUAGUCCACACGGUAAACGAUGAAUACUCGCUGUUUGCGAUAUACUGCAAGCGGCCAAGCGAAAGCGUUAAGUAUUCCACCUGGGGAGUACGCCGGCAACGGUGAAACUCAAAGGAAUUGACGGGGGCCCGCACAAGCGGAGGAACAUGUGGUUUAAUUCGAUGAUACGCGAGGAACCUUACCCGGGCUUAAAUUGCAGAUGAAUUACGGUGAAAGCCGUAAGCCGCAAGGCAUCUGUGAAGGUGCUGCAUGGUUGUCGUCAGCUCGUGCCGUGAGGUGUCGGCUUAAGUGCCAUAACGAGCGCAACCCUUGUUGUCAGUUACUAACAGGUUCCGCUGAGGACUCUGACAAGACUGCCAUCGUAAGAUGUGAGGAAGGUGGGGAUGACGUCAAAUCAGCACGGCCCUUACGUCCGGGGCUACACACGUGUUACAAUGGGGGGUACAGAGGGCCGCUACCACGCGAGUGGAUGCCAAUCCCCAAAACCUCUCUCAGUUCGGACUGGAGUCUGCAACCCGACUCCACGAAGCUGGAUUCGCUAGUAAUCGCGCAUCAGCCACGGCGCGGUGAAUACGUUCCCGGGCCUUGUACACACCGCCCGUCAAGCCAUGGGAGCCGGGGGUACCUGAAGUGCGUAACCGCGAGGAGCGCCCUAGGGUAAAACUGGUGACUGG
Molecule: ribosomal RNA, 1438 nt
Filed under: uncultured bacterium
Lineage: Bacteria
Description: bacterial SSU rRNA
Rfam family: Bacterial small subunit ribosomal RNA
Source: RNAcentral